AAAACAAUAUUAACAUUUACAUUUGGAAUAAAACCCACAAUAACUGUUGCUCCAUUUGAAAUCGUCUUUGCCUUCAGCCAACACCCUAUCUCCACCGCCGUUCCUCCACCGUGCUCCACCGCCGUUCCUCUACCGUGCUCCACCGCCGGUAACGAUCGCCUUCCUGUGUUAUCCAAACAUCUGCGCCAGUUAAGCAAAACUCUUCUUCACUAAUCUUAUGGAGAAAGAGGUGAAAUUCUUCAUUCUCGAUUGGAUUGGUGUGUUGAGAUCUUUUUUUUUUGUGUUUGUGAGUAUAAAUGUUAAAAUGAUUGAGAUGAAAUGAUUCAAUUUGGGAAAUCGAGCUUAAUCUCAUGUUUCAAUUAUAAUUGAUUUCAUGAGAUCAAUUAGGUUCAAUUCGUAAAAUCAGGUUCAAUCAGGUCGCCUUUCCCUGUUCUAUUUACUACUGAUUUCUCCUCCUCGUAUCUUCUGUCAGUUUACGUCUGAAUCCAAAACAAAUAAAAAUGUCGAUUUGAUCUAGGGCAUGCUUUUAUAUGUGUAUCAAUUUUGGGGAAUACUUCUAUAAAUUCAAUAUAAUGCUUAAAUUGUUUGAUCUGCAGAUUUUUAUUCAAGUUAUGUAAUCAUAACUUGUAUACUAACACUGUAAACUGCUUUUAUGGAUAUUCCUCUGGCAAAAGGAGACAUGUCAAAAUUGUGAAGUUUUUCAUUAAACAUGGUGCUAGAAUUGGUUUCAAAUAUUGAGGAAUUCACUGCGUUGCACUUUGCGGCUCAAAAGCCAGUUUUUUUUUAUGCAGUUGUGAAACCCUCUUGUAUAUGCAGUCAAGUUUGAUCAUUUGAAUGCCUGAGGUUGCUGCUUGAGGUAUUCUGAUUCUACCAUGUAGUGAUGAAGCUGUGGCAGCAUUUCUAGAAAGCUGGAGAGUUAUUGUUGGAACUUUUUUUGAUAAUAUGCCAAAGCUGCUCGUUGCUGAAGCUGCUCAAAAUCUUUGGUUGUAUGCACAAUGCAGUAUCUGCCAAGAUCGUUUGGUGUUUAGUUUCAGAAGUACUUGCAACAGUUUUACCUGGUAUUCUAAUGAAAUUCAUACCAUAAAUGAUCAAUUUGUGAACGGGCUAGUCGAUGCUUCUGCUUGUGGUAAAAUAGAUGCUUUUCAUAUGGCAAUAUAAGUGUUAGGAGGUUUGGUAGCAUAGAUGAAGGCCUGAUAUCAUGUUCAUCAUGGUUAGUCUGGUGUUUGGUAGGCAUGUUGAUACAUUUACAUGGCCCGUGUUAACUUGAAGGCGCCCGACGAAAACAGUCCAAUUUUCCAGUUAAGUUAUCAGGUGAGAGGGGCUACGACAGCUUAUCUGGCUCGCUAAACACACCACGAUUGAAGGGUAAAUUCCAAUUUUGCCUUUGCCAUUUCGCUCCUCAAACGCAUCUAUCUCUCUCAUCUGUUCCAGCGACUGUUGAAGAGGAAUUUGAUCUCGCGGAUUAGCGUGGUGUUGAAACUUUGCAGCCUACACACGGCAUAGCCAGAUGAUGGUGGAGAGGAGCAAGUCGUUGCCGGAGAAAUUGGAGAGGGUUAGCGAGUUGACUCAGAACUGGAUGAAUUGGGGGCGAUGGCUCGAUGAAGGUCACAGUGGCGAAGAUCACCGCCGCCAAGAUGCGGCGGAUGGAGUUUUCCAUGAAUUCGAUUUUCGAAGUGAUGCAAUUAGCAAAUAACAUAAUCGAAUUUUUCACGCAGUUGAAUGUGUUUGUGCGUGUGGCAGUGGGAAUGUGACGUACUGACUUGUCUUCUUGUUAUUCAUACAAUUUAAUUUAAUUUAAUUUAAUUUAAUUUAAUUUAA
Long non-coding RNA from Salvia splendens (bonfire salvia), 1818 nucleotides. RefSeq lists it as uncharacterized. The transcript is spliced from 5 exons. Lineage: Eukaryota; Viridiplantae; Streptophyta; Magnoliopsida; Lamiales; Lamiaceae. The record is from RefSeq and is a predicted model, not a curated record.